UCGAAAGAGAGCCGUAACACAGGUGCUGCAUGGCUGUCGUCAGCUCGUGUCGUGAGAUGUUGGUUAAGUCCCGCAACGAGCGCAACCCUUGUCAUUAGUUGCUACAUUCAGUUGGGCACUCUAAUGAGACUGCCGGUGACAAAUCGGAGGAAGGUGGGGAUGACGUCAAGUCCUCAUGGCCCUUAUAGGUGGGGCUACACACGUCAUACAAUGGAUGGUACAAAGGGUCGCCAACCCGCGAGGGGGAGCCAAUCCCAUAAAGCCAUUCGUAGUCCGGAUCGCAGUCUGCAACUCGACUGCGUGAAGUCGGAAUCGCUAGUAAUCGUGGAUCAGAAUGUCACGGUGAAUACGUUCCCGGGUCUU
This 363-nucleotide ribosomal RNA is filed under the name uncultured Acidovorax sp. RNAcentral's name for it is "bacterial SSU rRNA". It matches the Rfam family "Bacterial small subunit ribosomal RNA", at positions 1016 to 1382 of the family's 1533-position model. Lineage: Bacteria; Pseudomonadati; Pseudomonadota; Betaproteobacteria; Burkholderiales; Comamonadaceae. The record is from RNAcentral.